AUUGAACGCUGGCGGCAUGCCUAACACAUGCAAGUCGAACGGUAACAGGGGUCUCCUUGCGGAGGCGCUUACGGGUGGCGGGCGGGAUGGUAAUGUCUGUGACACGGCCUGGGGGAUGGGGAUGACUACUGGAAACUGUAGCUACUACCGCAUAACGUCUCAAGACGGGAGAGGGAGACCUUCGGCGCUCUUGCCAUGGCCGGUGUCGAGAUGGGAUUAGCUAGUAGGUGGGGUAACGGCUCACCUAGGCGACGAUCCCUAGCUGGUCUGAGAGGAUGACCAGCCACACUGGAACUGAGACACGGCCCAGACUCCUACGGGAGGCAGCAGUGGGGAAUAUUGCACAAUGGGCGCAAGCCUGAUGCGGCCAUGCCGCGUGUAUGAAGAAGGCCUUCGGGUUGUAAAGCACUUUCAGCGGGGAGGAAGGCAGUAAAGUUAAUACCCCUGCUCAUUGACGUUACCCGAAGAAGAAGCACCGGCUAACUCCGUG
Molecule: ribosomal RNA, 490 nt
Filed under: uncultured bacterium
Lineage: Bacteria
Description: partial 16S ribosomal RNA
Rfam family: Bacterial small subunit ribosomal RNA
Source: RNAcentral